RNAcentral lists this ribosomal RNA (726 nucleotides) under uncultured bacterium. Its description in RNAcentral is "bacterial SSU rRNA". It matches the Rfam family "Bacterial small subunit ribosomal RNA", at positions 8 to 749 of the family's 1533-position model. The record is from RNAcentral.
AGAGUUUGAUCCUGGCUCAGGACGAACGCUGGCGGCGUGCUUAACACAUGCAAGUCGAACGGAAAGGCCCGCUUGCGGGUACUCGAGUGGCGAACGGGUGAGUAACACGUGGGCAACCUGCCCUCAGCUCUGGGAUAACUCCGGGAAACCGGUGCUAAUACUGGAUAUCAACUUCUGCUCGCAUGGGUGGUUGUUGAAAGUUUUUCGGCUGGGGAUGGGCCCGCGGCCUAUCAGCUUGUUGGUGGGGUGAUGGCCUACCAAGGCGACGACGGGUAGCCGGCCUGAGAGGGCGACCGGCCACACUGGGACUGAGACACGGCCCAGACUCCUACGGGAGGCAGCAGUGGGGAAUAUUGCGCAAUGGGCGGAAGCCUGACGCAGCGACGCCGCGUGAGGGAUGACGGCCUUCGGGUUGUAAACCUCUUUCAGCUCUGACGAAGCGAGAGUGACGGUAGGAGCAGAAGAAGCACCGGCCAACUACGUGCCAGCAGCCGCGGUAAUACGUAGGGUGCAAGCGUUGUCCGGAAUUAUUGGGCGUAAAGAGCUCGUAGGCGGUUUGUCGCGUCGAAUGUGAAAACCCGGGGCUCAACCCCGGGCCUGCAUUCGAUACGGGCAGACUAGAGUUCGGUAGGGGAGUCUGGAAUUCCUGGUGUAGCGGUGAAAUGCGCNNAUAUCAGGNNNAACACCGGUGGCGAAGGCGGGACUCUGGGCCGAUACUGACGCUGA